Molecule: non-coding RNA, 128 nt
Filed under: Chishuiella changwenlii
Lineage: Bacteria; Pseudomonadati; Bacteroidota; Flavobacteriia; Flavobacteriales; Weeksellaceae
Description: FMN sequence
Rfam family: FMN riboswitch aptamer (RFN element)
About the family: The RFN element is a highly conserved domain that is found frequently in the 5'-untranslated regions of prokaryotic mRNAs that encode for flavin mononucleotide (FMN) biosynthesis and transport proteins. This element is a metabolite-dependent riboswitch that directly binds FMN in the absence of proteins. In Bacillus subtilis, the riboswitch most likely controls gene expression by causing premature transcription termination within the 5' untranslated region of the ribDEAHT operon and precluding access to the ribosome-binding site of ypaA mRNA.
Source: RNAcentral
AAUUUUCUUCGGGGCAAGGUGAAAUUCCUUACCGGCGGUUAUAGUCCGCGACUCCUUUUAUUUUUUAAUUGGACUGAUUUGGUGAAAAUCCAAAACCGACAGUAUAGUCUGGAUGAGAGAAGAAAAUU